AAUCAACGCUGGCGGCGUGCCUAACACAUGCAAGUCGAACGCGAAAGUCCCGCAAGGGAUGAGUAGAGUGGCAAACGGGUGAGUAACACGUGGGUGACCUGCCUUAGAGUGGGGGAUAACGUCCCGAAAGGGACGCUAAUACCGCAUAACAUCCUGCCUUUGAAGAGGUGGAGAUCAAAGCUGGGGACCGCAAGGCCUAGCGCUCAAAGAGGGGCCCGCGCCUGAUUAGCUAGUUGGUGAGGUAACGGCUCACCAAGGCUACGAUCAGUAUCCGGCCUGAGAGGGCGGACGGACACACUGGGACUGAGACACGGCCCAGACUCCUACGGGAGCAGCAGUGGGGAAUUGUUCGCAAUGGGCGCAAGCCUGACGACGCAACGCCGCGUGGAGGAUGAAG
Molecule: ribosomal RNA, 397 nt
Filed under: uncultured bacterium
Lineage: Bacteria
Description: bacterial SSU rRNA
Rfam family: Bacterial small subunit ribosomal RNA
Source: RNAcentral